GACGGAGGCUGCAAGCGUUAUCCGGAAUUAUUGGGCGUAAAGCGUCCGUAGGCGGUUUCACAAGUCUGUUGUUAAAGCCCACAGCUCAACUGUGGAUCGGCAAUGGAAACUGUGAGACUAGAGAGUGGUAGGGGUAGAGGGAAUUCCUAGUGUAGCGGUGAAAUGCGUAGAUAUGAGGAAGAACACCAGUGGCGAAGGCGGCUAACUGGCCCAUUCUUGACGCUGAGGAACGAAAGCGUGGGGAGCAAACAGG
This 253-nucleotide ribosomal RNA is filed under the name uncultured bacterium. RNAcentral describes it as "partial 16S ribosomal RNA". It matches the Rfam family "Bacterial small subunit ribosomal RNA", at positions 524 to 776 of the family's 1533-position model. The record is from RNAcentral.